RNAcentral lists this ribosomal RNA (256 nucleotides) under uncultured bacterium. RNAcentral's name for it is "partial 16S ribosomal RNA". It matches the Rfam family "Bacterial small subunit ribosomal RNA", at positions 524 to 776 of the family's 1533-position model. The record is from RNAcentral.
UACGGGGGGAGCAAGCGUUGUUCGGAUUUACUGGGCGUAAAGGGCGCGUAGGCGGUCAGCACAAGUCAGUUGUGAAAUCUCCGGGCUUAACUCGGAAAGGUCAACUGAUACUGUGCGACUAGAGUGCAGAAGGGGCAACUGGAAUUCGUCGGUGUAGCGGUGAAAAUGCGUAGAUAUCGAGAGGAACACCUGCGGCGAAGGCGGGUUGCUGGGCUGACACUGACGCUGAUGCGCGAAAGCCAGGGGAGCGAACGGG